GACGAACGCUGGCGGCGUGCCUAAUACAUGCAAGUCGAACGAACGGAGCUAGGAACUUGUUCCCGGCAAAGUUAGUGGCGCACGGGUGAGUAACACGUGGAGAACCUACCCUUUUGCGGGGGAUAACCAUUGGAAACGAUGACUAAUACCGCAUAGAAUCGCAGAUCGCAUGAUCAACGAAGGAAAGACGGCUUCGGCUGUCACAAAAGGAUGGCUCCGCGGUGCAUUAGCUAGAUGGUGGGGUAACGGCCUACCAUGGCAAUGAUGCAUAGCCGACCUGAGAGGGUGAUCGGCCACAUUGGGACUGAGACACGGCCCAAACUCCUACGGGAGGCAGCAGUAGGGAAUCUUCCGCAAUGGGCGCAAGCCUGACGGAGCAACGCCGCGUGUGUGAAGAAGGUCUUCGGAUCGUAAAGCACUGUUGUUAGAGAAGAACGACCGCUAGAGUAACUGUUAGCGGAGUGACGGUAUCUAACCAGAAAGCCACGGCUAACUACGUGCCAGCAGCCGCGGUAAUACGUAGGUGGCAAGCGUUGUCCGGAUUUAUUGGGCGUAAAGGGAGCGCAGGCGGUGACUUAAGUCUGAUGUGAAAGCCCACGGCUCAACCGUGGAGGGUCAUUGGAAACUGGGUCGCUUGAGUGCAGAAGAGGAAAAGUGGAAUUCCAUGUGUAGCGGUGAAAUGCGUAGAUAUAUGGGAGGAACACCAGUGGCGAAGGCGACUUUCUGGUCUGUAACUGACGCUGAGGCUUCGAAAGCUUGGGGAGCAAACAAG
This 772-nucleotide ribosomal RNA is filed under the name uncultured Facklamia sp. RNAcentral's name for it is "bacterial SSU rRNA". It matches the Rfam family "Bacterial small subunit ribosomal RNA", at positions 28 to 776 of the family's 1533-position model. The record is from RNAcentral. Lineage: Bacteria; Bacillati; Bacillota; Bacilli; Lactobacillales; Aerococcaceae.